This 723-nucleotide ribosomal RNA is filed under the name Vibrio sp. 14C07. RNAcentral describes it as "bacterial SSU rRNA". It matches the Rfam family "Bacterial small subunit ribosomal RNA", at positions 33 to 735 of the family's 1533-position model. Lineage: Bacteria; Pseudomonadati; Pseudomonadota; Gammaproteobacteria; Vibrionales; Vibrionaceae. The record is from RNAcentral.
ACGCUGGCGGCAGGCCUAACACAUGCAAGUCGAGCGGAAACGACAACAUUGAAUCUUCGGAGGAUUURAUGGGCGUCGAGCGGCGGACGGGUGAGUAAUGCCUAGGAAAUUGCCUUGAUGUGGGGGAUAACCAUUGGAAACGAUGGCUAAUACCGCAUAAUGCCUACGGGCCAAAGAGGGGGACCUUCGGGCCUCUCGCGUCAAGAUAUGCCUAGGUGGGAUUAGCUAGUUGGUGAGGUAAUGGCUCACCAAGGCGACGAUCCCUAGCUGGUCUGAGAGGAUGAUCAGCCACACUGGAACUGAGACACGGUCCAGACUCCUACGGGAGGCAGCAGUGGGGAAUAUUGCACAAUGGGCGAAAGCCUGAUGCAGCCAUGCCGCGUGUAUGAAGAAGGCCUUCGGGUUGUAAAGUACUUUCAGUUGUGAGGAAGGGGGUAACGUUAAUAGCGUUAUCUCUUGACGUUAGCAACAGAAGAAGCACCGGCUAACUCCGUGCCAGCAGCCGCGGUAAUACGGAGGGUGCGAGCGUUAAUCGGAAUUACUGGGCGUAAAGCGCAUGCAGGUGGUUCAUUAAGUCAGAUGUGAAAGCCCGGGGCUCAACCUCGGAACUGCAUUUGAAACUGGUGAACUAGAGUGCUGUAGAGGGGGGUAGAAUUUCAGGUGUAGCGGUGAAAUGCGUAGAGAUCUGAAGGAAUACCAGUGGCGAAGGCGGCCCCCUGGACA